RNAcentral lists this RNase P RNA (270 nucleotides) under Pseudomonas sp. GW456-E7. RNAcentral's name for it is "partial RNase P RNA component class B". It matches the Rfam family "Bacterial RNase P class B", at positions 1 to 267 of the family's 365-position model. Rfam says of the family: Ribonuclease P (RNase P) is a ubiquitous endoribonuclease, found in archaea, bacteria and eukarya as well as chloroplasts and mitochondria. Its best characterised activity is the generation of mature 5'-ends of tRNAs by cleaving the 5'-leader elements of precursor-tRNAs. Lineage: Bacteria; Pseudomonadati; Pseudomonadota; Gammaproteobacteria; Pseudomonadales; Pseudomonadaceae. The record is from RNAcentral.
ACGUUCGGGUAAUCGCUGCAGAUCUUGAAUCUGUAGAGGAAAGUCCAUGCUCGCACGGUGCUGAGAUGCCCGUAGUGUUCGUGCCUAGCGAAGUCAUAAGCUAGGGCAGCCUUGAUAGGCUGACGGCAGGAAAAAAGCCUACGUCCUUUGGAUAUGGCUGAGUAUCCUUGAAAGUGCCACAGUGACGAAGUCUCACUAGAAAUGGUGAGAGUGGAACGCGGUAAACCCCUCGAGCGAGAAACCCAAAUUUUGGUAGGGGAACCUUCUUAA